CAAGUGAGUCCAACAGAGUAUGGAGACUAUUCACCCUUUGUCAGCCCUCUGAUUGGUUCCUGGCUCGACCAAUCAGAAAAAUCCUUCGCCGUUGCCCAACUUCCGGUUGGACAUUUGGCCUCGGCUCUAUCACAACAUCACAACAACUGAACAAGAGUAGAUUUAAAAUGGUUAAACGGUGUGCAUGGGGGACUUGUAAAAGUGACUCUCGCUAUCCUGAGAGAAGCCCAGGAGUAUAUUUUAUCCCAUUCCCGAAACCGAAAGUACAUUACGAAAAAUGUUUACUUUGGAUACGUUUAUGCGGACGUCCGCACUGGCAGCUAAAUCCGUCCAAAAUAACGAAAUACACGUACAUCUGCUCUGAGGUAAGUUGGCACAUUAUUCUUUACAGUAGUAAUGUCACAAUUUAAGAGCUAAUGUUAGUGGUUGUACUUAGGUUUUAUAGGCAUUUAUUUCCUUCUGCUAGCCAAAAUUGGCAUUAUAGCUGUCGUAGCCACUAGCUGUCAUAGCAUGAUUGUGUUCGCAUGCCAAGAUGAUGCCAUUCUGUAACAUCUGUUUAUAUUUUUUAUGAAAGCACUUUGUUGAUGGGGCACCAAGUGAUCGAUACCCAAACCCCGUGGAUGCAACAGGAAAGUCUGUUAAGCCUUGCAGACUUAACCCCAAAAGACAAAGGCUGCAUCAGCAGAGUGAGAGCGGCAGUUUGGCAAGCCCAGGUCAUACCAUGGCUGAAGAUACAGCACAGACCAGUAACGUGGCAGAAGAAGACGCACAGCAAAGCAGCAUAGCAGAAGAGAAAGAAGAGAUUGGCAGCGGCGCAGAAGAGACAGAAGAGACGAAAGAGAUUGGCAGCAGGGCAGAAGAGAGAACAAACCCAGGAGAGACCUGUUACACUGCAGAAGACACAGCACAGCCCAACACAGUCGGACACAUGUCAGAAAACGCUCAGUAUCUGUCAUUUUUAUAUGUUUCCUGUGGAUGUAGGAUAUGAAAAAAGAAAAGUCAGUUCAGAAACAUUUUUAUGCAAUACAUUUGUAUUUACAUUUGUAUACUUGUUUAAUGCAAUUAAAGUAAUUGAUUCAUUUUAUCACUGUUCUUUAAUAGUCUACAAGGAUCUUUUACUUGUUCAUUCAUCAGAUUGUUCACGGUUAUUACAUUGAUAUUUUUGGUUUACCUCUUCAUAUGCCUCAAAGUGACCUUUCUCUUUCUUUUAAGUUUGGCUUUCAAUGGCUUAAUGUGUGACACAGGUUCAUUCCCUAUUGUUUUUCCACGUGGUUUGUGCCACAUUUGUGGCAUACUAGUGCAGGAUAGUGGAUUUGAGACCUCUUUUUGACCACGCUGAAGAUCCAAUGUGUACAUUAAUCCAACAAUAUGGGAACAGUAACCAGCAGACCUGAAAAUAUAAGCACAUUUUUGCAUAAUAAUGAAUAUAUAACAUAUGCCUAGCUAGUGUGAUAAUUACUUGAUUAAUUACUUAAUAUUACUACAGUGUUAAUAUUGUAUAAUUCACUUACCCUGCAGUGCAGGAGCAGUUCUGACCUGUGAUGACUCCAUCUGGAGUUACAUGUACAGAAAGUAAAUGAGGUUUCUCUCUUUUUCGCAUGGAUCUGUAGCAUUUUGCAUUUAUAGAAGUAUCUGUGAAAGUUAUGUCACGUACAUAACUCUCCAAAGCAUACUGAAGGCCCUGUUGUCUACACUUUGAGGAUAUUUGAGAGCCCUGGCUCGAAAACUGGUCACAUAUAGCCUGUAAAGGUAAGUCUGUGGCUGGGAGUGUGCUAUUAGCAUGUUGACCUGCCAUCCCGGUCCCGGUUUGUGAUCAGGUGCUGGUUUGAGGUCCCGUUAGGUCACCCUAUAUUCAAUCGCGCCAAGCAGAAAGGGGGAAACAGCGCCCCCUCUGGUGGAUAAAUGAAUCUGUUUUAUCCAAUGUUAGCUAAACUAAGAAAAUAUCGUGUUUUGGAGGGAAGACAACAUUUUGCGAAGCCACAAUAUUGUACAAGAGAUGUUCCUCUUCAUUUAUAUAAUGAUUCUGUUUUUGUUUCUGUAUAUUAAAAUGCUGUAUAAGGCAAUGGAAAAAGUCGUUUUUACAAUGGGAGUGAAUGGAGAGGCAGACUUGGUUGUCCGACCUAGCAACAAACUCGCGGGGGGGCGGGGCUUGACAAAGGGUGAAUUAUUUCAAUUCCAGCCGUUUUCAGUACAAAAAAUCGCUAAUAUUCUAUUUUUAAAUAAAAAAAAUUACGAAAAAUACGGGGAAUAUUGGACGCGCAUCGGGAGGUGCAUUUCCUUGAAAACGACCGAUUCGGGGAUUUUAUACCGACUUCAGGACAUGUUUUGGACAAAAUAGUUUACUGGCUUGUGUCAUCUGAUGUAAAAGGUUGGAUUAUGGCCGUUUUUUGUGGAAUCUUUUUUUUUGUGUGUAAUAAUAAACCCGGAAAUGUG
Acanthochromis polyacanthus (spiny chromis) is the source of this 2433-nucleotide long non-coding RNA. RefSeq lists it as uncharacterized. The record is from RefSeq and is a predicted model, not a curated record. NCBI's taxonomy places the organism in Eukaryota, Metazoa, Chordata, Actinopteri, Pomacentridae. The transcript has 3 exons.